This 630-nucleotide long non-coding RNA is filed under the name Lonchura striata (white-rumped munia). Its description in RNAcentral is "domestica (Bengalese finch) lncRNA (ENSLSDG00000001474.1)". Lineage: Eukaryota; Metazoa; Chordata; Aves; Passeriformes; Estrildidae. The record is from RNAcentral.
CUUCUCACUCUCUCCUCUUCCUCCUCUCUCUUUUCUUCUCACUCUCUCCUUCUCACUAUCUCCUCUUCCUCUUCUCACUUUCUCCUCUUCUUCCUCUCUCCUCUUCUUCUUCACACUCUCUCCUCUUCUUCUCACACUCUCCUCUUCUUCUCUCUCUCCUCUUCUUCUCUCCUCUUCUUCUCUCUCUCCUCUUCUUCAUCUCGCUCUCUCCUCUUCCUCCUUUCUCCUCUUCUCACUCUCUCAUCUUCUUCUCACUCUCUCCUCUUCUUCUCACACUCUCUUCUUCCUUUCACUCUCUCCUCUUCUUCUCAGUCUUGUCUCUUCUCCUUGCUCUCUCCUCUUCUUCUCACUCCUCUUCCUCCUCUCUCCUCACUCCUCUUCCUCCUCUCUCCUCUUCUUCUCUCUCUCUCCUUUUCUUCUCACUCCUCUUCCUCCUCUCUUCUUCUCACUUUCUCCUCUUCCUCAUCUCACCUCUUCUUCCUUCUCUGUCCUCCUCUUGUUCUCAUUUUCUCCACUUCCUCCUCUCUCCUCUUUUUUUUUCACUCUCUCCUCUUCUUCUCACUCUCUCCUUUUCCUCCUCUCUCUUCUUUUUUUUAGUCUCUCAUCUUCUUCUCACACUCUCUUCAUCAU